Molecule: ribosomal RNA, 525 nt
Filed under: uncultured Leclercia sp.
Lineage: Bacteria; Pseudomonadati; Pseudomonadota; Gammaproteobacteria; Enterobacterales; Enterobacteriaceae
Description: bacterial SSU rRNA
Rfam family: Bacterial small subunit ribosomal RNA
Source: RNAcentral
AGAGUUUGAUCCUGGCUCAGAUUGAACGCUGGCGGCAGGCCUAACACAUGCAAGUCGAGCGGCAGCGGGAAGUAGCUUGCUACUUUGCCGGCGAGCGGCGGACGGGUGAGUAACGUCUGGGAAACUGCCUGAUGGAGGGGGAUAACUACUGGAAACGGUAGCUAAUACCGCAUAACGUCGCAAGACCAAAGAGGGGGACCUUCAGGCCUCUUGCCAUCAGAUGUGCCCAGAUGGGAUUAGCUAGUAGGUGGGGUAACGGCUCACCUAGGCGACGAUCCCUAGCUGGUCUGAGAGGAUGACCAGCCACACUGGAACUGAGACACGGUCCAGACUCCUACGGGAGGCAGCAGUGGGGAAUAUUGCACAAUGGGCGCAAGCCUGAUGCAGCCAUGCCGCGUGUAUGAAGAAGGCCUUCGGGUUGUAAGUACUUUCAGCGAGGAGGAAGGCAUUGUGGCUAAUAACCACAGUGAUUGACGUUACUCGCAGAAGAAGCACCGGCUAACUCCGUGCCAGCCGCCGCGGUAA